Molecule: ribosomal RNA, 430 nt
Filed under: uncultured Fibrobacteres/Acidobacteria group bacterium
Lineage: Bacteria; Pseudomonadati
Description: bacterial SSU rRNA
Rfam family: Bacterial small subunit ribosomal RNA
Source: RNAcentral
GCACGAGCGCACCCCUCGUCCCGUGUUGCUAACUUCGGUGCACUCACGGGAGACCGCCAGCGACAAGUUGGAGGAAGGUGGGGACGACGUCAAGUCAUCAUGGCCUUUAUGUCCAGGGCCACACACGUGCUACAAUGGGCGGUACAACGGGUCGCGAAGCCGCGAGGUGGAGCUAAUCCCUAAAAACCGUCCUCAGUUCGGAUCGCAGGCUGCAAUUCGCCUGCGUGAAGCUGGAAUCGCUAGUAAUGGCGCAUCAGAACGGCGCCGUGAAUACGUUCCCGGGCCUUGUACACACCGCCCGUCACAUCACGAAAGUGGAUUGUACUAGAAGUCCGUGAGCCAACCUUCGGGAGGCAGCGGCCCAAGGUAUGAUUCACGAUUGGGGUGAAGUCGUAACAAGGUAGCCGUAGGAGAACCUGCGGCUGGAUCA